This 402-nucleotide ribosomal RNA is filed under the name uncultured bacterium. RNAcentral's name for it is "bacterial SSU rRNA". It matches the Rfam family "Bacterial small subunit ribosomal RNA", at positions 917 to 1320 of the family's 1533-position model. The record is from RNAcentral.
GGGCCCGCACAAGCGGUGGAGUAUGUGGUUUAAUUCGAAGCAACGCGCAGAACCUUACCAACCCUUGACAUCCUGUGCUAACCCGAGAGAUCGGGCGUUCACUUCGGUGACGCAGUGACAGGUGCUGCAUGGCUGUCGUCAGCUCGUGUCGUGAGAUGUUCGGUUAAGUCCGGCAACGAGCGCAACCCACAUCCUUAGUUGCCAGCAGUUCGGCUGGGCACUCUAAGGAAACUGCCCGUGAUAAGCGGGAGGAAGGUGUGGAUGACGUCAAGUCCUCAUGGCCCUUACGGGUUGGGCUACACACGUGCUACAAUGGCAGUGACAAUGGGAUGCGAAGGGGUGACUCUUAGCUAAUCCCUAAAAUGUGCCUCAGUUCGGAUUGUACUCUGUAACUCGAGUGCA